Molecule: ribosomal RNA, 331 nt
Filed under: Streptococcus pneumoniae
Lineage: Bacteria; Bacillati; Bacillota; Bacilli; Lactobacillales; Streptococcaceae
Description: partial 23S ribosomal RNA
Rfam family: Bacterial large subunit ribosomal RNA
Source: RNAcentral
CUGUUUGAAGAUGGGGGGACCAUCCUCCAAGGCUAAAUACUCCUGAUUGACCGAUAGUGAACCAGUACUGUGAAGGAAAGGCGAAAAGAACCCCGGUGAGGGGAGUGAAAUAGAACCUGAAACCUUGUACGUACAAGCAGUGGGAGCCCUUUAAGGGUGACUGCGUACCUUUUGUAUAAUGGGUCAGCGACUUAUAUUUUGUAGCGAGGUUAACCGAAUAGGGGAGCCGAAGGGAAACCGAGUCUUAACUGGGCGUCUAGUUGCAAGGUAUAGACCCGAAACCCGGUGAUCUAGCCAUGGGCAGGUUGAAGGUUGGGUAACACUAACUGGA